RNAcentral lists this ribosomal RNA (497 nucleotides) under uncultured bacterium. RNAcentral describes it as "partial 16S ribosomal RNA". It matches the Rfam family "Bacterial small subunit ribosomal RNA", at positions 28 to 507 of the family's 1533-position model. The record is from RNAcentral.
GAUGAACGCUGGCGGCGUGCCUAAUACAUGCAAGUCGAGCGAACGGACGAGAAGCUUGCUUCUCUGAUGUUAGCGGCGGACGGGUGAGUAACACGUGGAUAACCUACCUAUAAGACUGGGAUAACUUCGGGAAACCGGAGCUAAUACCGGAUAAUAUUUUGAACCGCAUGGUUCAAAAGUGAAAGACGGUCUUGCUGUCACUUAUAGAUGGAUCCGCGCUGCAUUAGCUAGUUGGUAAGGUAACGGCUUACCAAGGCAACGAUGCAUAGCCGACCUGAGAGGGUGAUCGGCCACACUGGAACUGAGACACGGUCCAGACUCCUACGGGAGGCAGCAGUAGGGAAUCUUCCGCAAUGGGCGAAAGCCUGACGGAGCAACGCCGCGUGAGUGAUGAAGGUCUUCGGAUCGUAAAACUCUGUUAUUAGGGAAGAACAGAUGUGUAAGUAACUGUACACAUCUUGACGGUACCUAAUCAGAAAGCCACGGCUAACUACGUG